GUGAUUAUUGAUUGCUGAAGAACUGUGCUAUAAAUGAAGGAACCAAAAGCUCAGCGCCUCAUCCCCUGUGCCUUUUUGGCUGUUUGGACCGACCUGCCACUCCAGAAAUGGAGAUCUUCACCCUUUUCAACAAACCGAAGAGCCAUCAGAAGUGCCGGCAAUACUACCCUGUCACCAUUCCUCUCCAUGUCUCCAAGAAUGGCCAGACAGUGAGCGGUUUGGACGCCAACUGGUUAGAGCACAUGAGCGACCACUUCCGGAAAGGAGGCAUGCUGGUGAACGCAGUCUUCUACCUUGGAAUAGUGAAUGAUUCCUUACAUGGCUUGACAGAUGGAGUAUUCAUCUUUGAAGCUGUUUCCACAGAAGAUAGCAAAACCAUACAGGGCUAUGAUGCUAUUGUGGUUGAACAAUGGACAGUCCUGGAAGGUGUCGAAGUGCAGACAGACUACGUGCCCCUGCUGAACUCGCUGGCGGCCUAUGGCUGGCAGCUCACCUGUGUGCUACCAACUCCCGUCGUCAAGACUACCAGCGAGGGGAGUGUAUCCACCAAGCAGAUUGUCUUUCUUCAGAGACCGUGUCUACCUCAGAAAAUCAAGAAGAAGGAAUCGAAGUUUCAGUGGCGAUUCUCCAGAGAAGAAAUGCACAACAGGCAGAUGAGGAAAUCAAAAGGUAAACUCAGUGCCAGAGACAAACAACAAGCAGAAGAAAAUGAGAAGAACUUAGAAGACCAGUCUUCCAAAGCUGGAGACAUGGGGAACUGUGUUUCGGGACAGCAGCAGGAGGGUGGAGUCUCCGAGGAGAUGAAGGGCCCUGUCCAAGAGGACAAGGGAGAACAGCUGUCCCCUGGUGGCCUGCUGUGUGGGGUGGGUGUGGAGGGUGAGGCUGUGCAGAAUGGUCCUGCCAGCCACAGCAGGGCCCUGGUGGGGAUUUGCACUGGGCACUCCAAUCCUGGAGAGGAUGCCAGGGACGGGGAUGCUGAGGAAGUCAGAGAGCUUGGUACGGUUGAAGAAAACUGAGUCUUGGGCAAUUUGUGCUAAAACUAGGUGAGUUGCCAAACCCAAGGCAUCUUACCAACAGCUGGUUUGGGGGCUGGUUUCCCUGGUGUUGUGUGUUACCUACCCUUUGGCUUGGCUUGACCUCUCCUUGUGAGCUCACCUGAGCCCUCCCAGGGCCAGGUUCCUGACAGUGUUGGUUUUUGCACAUCCACUGGAAAGGUGUCAUUAAUGACCCAGUGUUAGAAUGCAAGAGGUCAGGUUAUUUCUUCUAGCCCUCAUGGCUGAAGGCCCAGUCCUGGCUCCACCACUCCUCCAGCCAGAGG
This 1318-nucleotide small RNA is filed under the name Pan troglodytes (chimpanzee). RNAcentral's name for it is "processed transcript". Lineage: Eukaryota; Metazoa; Chordata; Mammalia; Primates; Hominidae. The record is from RNAcentral.